RNAcentral lists this long non-coding RNA (503 nucleotides) under Cricetulus griseus (Chinese hamster). Its description in RNAcentral is "lncRNA (ENSCGRG00015039689.1)". The record is from RNAcentral. Lineage: Eukaryota; Metazoa; Chordata; Mammalia; Rodentia; Cricetidae.
CUCAAAUAUCAUCAGUCGUUGCCAGAUAUAAAGAUGUCUGACUUUCUUGGUUCUUCAUGGUUGGGUCUGAGCCAUGUGCUAGGAGUAGGCCACAAAACUGUGUCCUUCCUUUCUGGGCUGCUUCAUGAAGCCAAGUAAAGGCCCACUUAUCCUUUGCAUUUACAUGUGUUGUAUUUCAUCCGUAGAGCAGCUAUGUCAACAUGCCCAUAAGAUGCUGCACUGUGAAGUGGAGUUAAGCUUCCUUUGUCCUGGGCUUUAACAUCAGCUCCAUGCUCUAAAAGUUGAUAUUCUCUGGAGUACAAAGCUUCUGCACUCUGAUCUGGCCAGGCAGCCCUUCUUGACAGUAUCCAACAGGGCAGCACACCCCACCCUCAGUCUGCCUCUCUGCAAAGCCACAAAGAAUUCGCUAUCAACUGGAGAACCAGACAAGGCAAUGUCUCCUGUCACAAACUGAAGUCUUGCUGUGCAACUCUGGUUGACCUGAGGGAAGGACAAGACCUGAC